UUAUUAUUUUCUUCUUUCAACCUAAAAGUGAAAAAAUCGAGUACUUCUCACGCACCGUAUCAUUGCCCUCGGGGAUUUUUUUUCCCUCGCUGUUUCUUCGCCGGCGAAAUUGCUUCCGUCCACUUUCCGGCGAACGUUGGAGAUGGUUGAUUCGCGGAAUUUUUAAUUUCUGGGGAUGGUGAAAUUGGAAAUUCGCAGUCGCAUGUAGAGGACGCAAUCGAGGAGUAUAUAAUUGGAUCGGGAAUUAGCCACGCUCCGCGUUGAAAUUGAGUAGGAAAAGCGCAAGAAUGUCGUAUGAUAGCAAGGGAUUCUGGAUGAUGAAGAACAAUGAACAUGUAACUGGGGAUGAUCAAACUUACAGCAAUCCAACGAGAGGAGACGUGAAGCGAUCUCAUUCUUGGUUUUUGGAUGCUGCUCAUCCAGAAAUGUUCCCCAAUAAAAAGCAUGUGAUACAAGAUCCAAUCGGAAGAUCAAAUGUAGGCGUUCCUUCUUGGGAGAGCAGUUCUGUUUUUCAUUCGGACUCGAACCAGU
Long non-coding RNA from Tarenaya hassleriana, 531 nucleotides. RefSeq lists it as uncharacterized. The record is from RefSeq and is a predicted model, not a curated record. NCBI's taxonomy places the organism in Eukaryota, Viridiplantae, Streptophyta, Magnoliopsida, Brassicales, Cleomaceae. The transcript has 3 exons.